Molecule: ribosomal RNA, 605 nt
Filed under: uncultured freshwater bacterium
Lineage: Bacteria
Description: bacterial SSU rRNA
Rfam family: Bacterial small subunit ribosomal RNA
Source: RNAcentral
AGAGUUUGAUCCUGGCUCAGAAUGAACGCUGGCGGCGUGUUUAAGACAUGCAAGUCGCACGGGGGAAUGUGAGUAGCAAUACAAGCAUUCUUCAGUGGCGCACGGGUGCGUAACACGUGAGUUACAUGCCCUGCAGAGGGGGAUAGCCCAGGGAAACUUGGAUUAAUACCCCAUGGUCUCGCAAGAGUAAAGGUGGCGAAAGCUGCCGCUGCAGGAUUGGCUCGCGGCCUAUCAGCUAGUUGGUGAGGUAACGGCUCACCAAGGCUACGACGGGUACCUGGUCUGAGAGGACGAUCAGGCACACUGGAACUGAGACACGGUCCAGACACCUACGGGUGGCAGCAGUCGAGAAUCAUUCACAGUGGGGGCAACCCUGAUGGUGCAACGCCGCGUGGAGGAUGAAGGUCUUCGGAUUGUAAACUCCUGUCAUCUAGGAGCAAGGCAUGGUGGUUAAUAGCCAACAUGAUUGAUAGUACUAGAAGAGGAAGGGACGGCUAACUUCGUGCCAGCAGCCGCGGUAAUACGAAGGUCCCGAGCGUUAUUCGGAAUCACUGGGCGUAAAGGGAGCGUAGGCGGCGUGGAAAGUCAGAUGUGAAAUCCCGGNG